AUAUUUAUCUGGAUGAGGGAGACAUCAUGAUCACAAGGUGAUUUUCUCAGGGAAAAACUUACUCAUUGCACUCUGUGUGUGCUGACUUCUGUGACCUCCCCAAAUGUGGGGAACUCCACUGCAUAAUUUGUGGCAGUGGGGGACUGCAUUCAUGCUCUCCUUUG
Artibeus jamaicensis (Jamaican fruit-eating bat) is the source of this 164-nucleotide small nuclear RNA. RefSeq annotates it as U1 spliceosomal RNA. The record is from RefSeq and is a predicted model, not a curated record. The transcript has a single exon. NCBI's taxonomy places the organism in Eukaryota, Metazoa, Chordata, Mammalia, Chiroptera, Phyllostomidae.